Molecule: ribosomal RNA, 430 nt
Filed under: uncultured bacterium
Lineage: Bacteria
Description: bacterial SSU rRNA
Rfam family: Bacterial small subunit ribosomal RNA
Source: RNAcentral
UACGGGAGGCAGCAGUGGGGAAUAUUGGACAAUGGGCGAAAGCCUGAUCCAGCCAUGCCGCAUGAGUGAAGAAGGCCUUCGGGUUGUAAAGCUCUUUUAGUGAGAAAGAUAAUGACGGUACUCACAGAAGAAGCACCGGCUAACUCCGUGCCAGCAGCCGCGGUAAUACGGAGGGUGCGAGCGUUAAUCGGAAUUACUGGGCGUAAAGGGCACGCAGGCGGUUAAUUAAGUUGGAUGUGAAAUCCCCGGGCUUAACCUGGGAAUGGCAUUCAAGACUGGUUAGCUAGAGUCUUGUAGAGGGGGGUUAGAAUUCCAUGUGUAGCGGUGAAAUGCGUAGAGAUGUGGAGGAAUACCGGUGGCGAAGGCGGCCCCUGGACAAAGACUGACGCUCAUGUGCGAAAGCGUGGGGAGCAAACAGGGAUUAGAUACC